Mustela erminea (ermine) is the source of this 1966-nucleotide long non-coding RNA. RefSeq lists it as uncharacterized. NCBI's taxonomy places the organism in Eukaryota, Metazoa, Chordata, Mammalia, Carnivora, Mustelidae. The transcript has 3 exons. The record is from RefSeq and is a predicted model, not a curated record.
GCCGGCCGUCCAGCCGCCCCGGGGCUGCCUAGGGGUCCUCAGCGCGGCUCCUCGGGCUCCGCCCACCGAAACUUCUGUUUUUCCUGUAAGAGCGAGGCAGGCAGCUGUGCGAGUCUCACAGCUUUCAUUGCUUUUCCGUCCCUCAGGAAAGGCGCUUAGGCUUCCCGGCGUUUGACCUCCGGAUGAACUGACCAGAGCAAUGAGAUGAGAUGGAGAGUCAAUAGACUUUCAGGCUACUAGGUCUGGAAGGGAUUGGUGGGCUGGAAGCCACGUCUCUGCAUCUGGAAAAUCUCUUCAGGAGAAGAGACAGUUGACAGGCAGUAGGAAUGUGACUGAAUUUGGGGUGGAGUGAAAUAUAAAGGAUAUGCAAACACCUAUCAUAAUGCUUCACCUAUAGGAGAGGGGCAAUAAACACUUGUGAAAUCUAAGCAGAAGCUAGGUAAGUUUUUCUUCUAUGCUCCCCUUCUUUUUUAUACAUCAGCUUUGAGUCAGUUUCCAUCCUGUGCUGAGUCAGGCUUUUUGGCCUUAGUUGCAAACCUGCUCCCUAAUCUCCAUCCAGACGCACAGAGAAGGUUUGGAAUGCACGUUUUUCCCUGAAGAAGUGUGGCCAGCAGUUCUGCCUCCUUCCCAGAGGAGAGGUCUGACUGGUGGGAGCCGGAGGAAGAGAUAGACAUGGGACGAGAACUCCUACAGAGAUCCCACUAGUUAAGGGCUCAGUACCAGGCACUCUGCAGUUGCUCUCAGUCAUUGCCAGCAUCUUGUCUCCUUAAUAACAAAGGAAGAUGGAGGAAGGAGUCAUCCCCAUGCACCACAUUCUUGCCGUCAGAGAAUGGCUUUGGGAAUCACUCCUUUAUCGCUGGAAGUUUCUGCCUCUCUUAGGACUCAGAGGACUAAGUCCAGAGGGACUUCAACAUUCAUCAGUCUCAUGAUGUCCCCUUGAAUUUAUAUGCAGAGGGAGAUGCUAGAGAGAGGCUAGGACCCAGGAAGAGCCACGUCCAGCCGUGUGACAACACAGAGCACAGCACCUGCAGUGUUCCUGCGCAGUUAGGUGUGUGCAGGAGGGAUCUGCUUUCUGCCAAGCUCCAGCUCUGUCUGGCUCAAGACAUUUUGGGGUGGGAGGCAGGGGCCAGACUUCUGGAGACCACAGAACCUCAAGUGAGGGAAGACAUCUGAAGGGCAGCGAGCUUGGCCUUCGUUGUUAGAAGGGGGCCAUACAGGGCACAGAGUGGUGACUUUCCCCUGGGAUUUGUCCCACCCAGCCCCGCAGAAUCAGGUCAGUCGUGGAAUACAGGGCACCAUGAGUGAGAGGGAAAAGAGCUGUUCAGUGAGGGGUUGGGAGGUAUUGGAGCCAGAGCAGCUCAGAUCUGGCACUCCCGGGCUCCAUGUGAGUUAGCAGCAUGAGACACCCUCCUCUCCUCCAUGGUGUAUUUUGUCACAUGGAGGUUCUAGCAAUUUCUUUGUCUAGGCUGGCAGUUUCCAGUGUAGGGAGAAACACAGACUGGCAGGAGUGGAGAUGGCCAGCAGGUGCAGCCAUGCCCAGGAUUGGUGGCAGUGACCCGUGGGAGGGAAGGAUGGAGGUGUCCACAGUGCAUCAGUGUGCUCUCUGGAUGCAAGAGCUGUGACCAGAGAAACCCCAGUGCUUAGUGAGACAGAAGGACAGAGGUGCCCUACAGAGGCAGCCUUUGGAGCCAAAAGCCAGCAAAAGAGGCUGGGAGCCUGGGACACCAUGUGGUAGUUGAGUGGACUUGGGCUUGAGCUCCCAGAGGACUCCCAGAAACACAGUACAGGAGGCUCUGCCAGGAGAUGAAGACUUGCAUUGGCUGGUGGUUAGUGGACUGACUACUGUCCAGGUCAUCUGGGUUUAAACUUAGCCUGCCCAAGGAAUGCUGGGAUAUCUGUCAGUAUCCCAUUAUCAGUGGAAUGAAGCCUGCUUUGACACAUCCUUUGAGCACUCAUAUCUCUCUCU